UAUUUCCUAAGCACACUUUCAGUCAUGGAUAUGGAUGCAACAAGCAAUGCACCCUGAAUUGAAUUACAAUAGCAGUUUAAGGAAAGAAUGGUCCAAAUAAUGGUUGAAGACAGAUAAUACCAAUAAAAAGCAUGUCAAUAAAGAAAUGGUUUAAGGAAAGAAAGAUGAAGAGGAAAGAAGAACAGAGAUUGUACAGAGCAGAGGUGCAUGCAGCAAUGUCAAUUACAAGUGUUGCAGCAACACUUUCUGCUAUUGCUUCUGAAAAUUCGAAAAAGGAGGAAUCAAUGAAGAUAGAGAUGCAACAAUAGCUUAUGCUUCUAUUUUGGUUGCUGCCCAGUGUGCAAUAGUAGCUGAAGCAAUGGGAGCUAAGAAAGAAGAUCUUACUAGUACAAUGUUAUUAGUUCUGCCAUGGGGUGUACUUUAAUUGGUGUGAUGGCAAACUAGUAAUGUGUACAAGAUUGUGAAGGCAAACUAGAAUAAGAUUGUAGUUUUAUUUGUAAUAUUGAGUACUUAGAAAUAUUACUUAAAUAUAUUAUAUUCUUUAGUUAUAUACGGUGAAAUGAUUAAUGCUUUUAAAUGA
Long non-coding RNA from Cicer arietinum (chickpea), 580 nucleotides. RefSeq lists it as uncharacterized. Lineage: Eukaryota; Viridiplantae; Streptophyta; Magnoliopsida; Fabales; Fabaceae. The record is from RefSeq and is a predicted model, not a curated record.